UACGGAGGUCCCAAGCGUUGUUCGGAUUCACUGGGCGUAAAGGGUGCGUAGGUGGUCGGGUAAGUCUGAUGUGAAAUCUCCGAGCUUAACUCGGAAACUGCAUCGGAUACUAUUUGGCUAGAGGGUUGGAGGGGGGACUGGAAUACUUGGUGUAGCAGUGAAAUGCGUAGAUAUCAAGUUGAACACCAGUGGCGAAGGCGAGUCCCUGGACAACUCCUGACACUGAGUCACGAAAGCUAUGGGAGCAAACAGG
Molecule: ribosomal RNA, 253 nt
Filed under: uncultured bacterium
Lineage: Bacteria
Description: partial 16S ribosomal RNA
Rfam family: Bacterial small subunit ribosomal RNA
Source: RNAcentral